ACACUAAGAGAAGGGAGGGAAAAAUACGUAGUUAUGAUGCUGACUUUUAAGAAAAAGAGUAUGAUAAAUGUACCUCAAUCCCUUUUUCAUGAGAUUUUCCUGAGAAGAGUGAUGAAACAUUAUCAAGCUCAGCACGGAGAUCAAAAGGAACAGCCUCCAGCUCAAGCCUUCCCGAUUCAAUCUUAGCUUGAUCCAGCACCUCAUUAAUCAAUGAUAUCAGAUCUUUCCCACUAUUAUGAGCAGUUUGUGCAUAAUCCAGUUGCAUUGGGUCAAGGUUGGUGUCCAUGAGCAUUUGAAGCAUGCCUGUACAUGUUGAAUAAAUUAUUAUCAAUAUAUGACUACAUAUGUAAUUAGAAUCUCCCUUUUCCAUAUUUUCUUCCCUCCCAGUCUCCCUUUCUGUUAAUCAAGUGCAAAGUUGUAAAAUUACAGUAUGAGCACUUCUUUAAGUAGGGCAUUAGGAUUCUUAUACUCCAACUUGAGGGGGUAGUAAGCGCAGACAUGGUAAUUAUGUAUAUUGUGAUAAUGAUAGGCCUAAUAGGUUAGGGUUAGUAUUGUGGACCUAGUAGGUUAGGGCUAGCUAAUCUCUAAUGAGAAGGCAGAAAAAACUCUCCCAAAUUUUUGAUAAUGAAUUGAUAGAAAAUUCUCCCAAACUAUUGCAUUCCUUAUGGUUCUUCGGUUCUUCUGAAUUUAGCAAGCAAUGACUAACAGAUGAUCUUCCUUAAAAUUUGCAUUUUAAGUAGUACAGAAUGAAUAAACAGAUCUUCUGCUUCCUUCAUUGAACAAGUAUGAUUUCUAAUCAUUUAAAACAUUCAAUUUUAGGUACUGAAAAUUGAUGCAUUAUCAAACAGCCCCUACUCUUUCUUGUAGAGCCAACAUCAGAGAAAGUAAACCGACCUUAAUUGAGUUUCCAACUAGAUUCGUAAUUAUCUGCCGGAACCGUCCUGGAUCUCCAAUAACAACUUCUGGGACUAAAUCAGAUACAUAAACAGCCAACUGUUUCCACAAAAAUAACACAAAAUACAAGGUAUCAUGAACUAGCUAGAGGAAUGACAGUAAGAAAAGAGAGAGAGAGAGAGAGAGAGAACACUAAGAGAAGGGAGGGAAAAAUACGUAGUUAUGAUGCUGACUUUUAAGAAAAAGAGUAUGAUAAAUGUACCUCAAUCCCUUUUUCAUGAGAUUUUCCUGAGAAGAGUGAUGAAACAUUAUCAAGCUCAGCACGGAGAUCAAAAGGAACAGCCUCCAGCUCAAGCCUUCCCGAUUCAAUCUUAGCUUGAUCCAGCACCUCAUUAAUCAAUGAUAUCAGAUCUUUCCCACUAUUAUGAGCAGUUUGUGCAUAAUCCAGUUGCAUUGGGUCAAGGUUGGUGUCCAUGAGCAUUUGAAGCAUGCCUGUACAUGUUGAAUAAAUUAUUAUCAAUAUAUGACUACAUAUGUAAUUAGAAUCUCCCUUUUCCAUAUUUUCUUCCCUCCCAGUCUCCCUUUCUGUUAAUCAAGUGCAAAGUUGUAAA
RNAcentral lists this long non-coding RNA (1505 nucleotides) under Capsicum annuum. RNAcentral describes it as "long non-coding RNA (CANN_LNC011687)". The record is from RNAcentral. Lineage: Eukaryota; Viridiplantae; Streptophyta; Magnoliopsida; Solanales; Solanaceae.